Long non-coding RNA from Prionailurus viverrinus (fishing cat), 1930 nucleotides. RefSeq lists it as uncharacterized. The transcript is spliced from 3 exons. NCBI's taxonomy places the organism in Eukaryota, Metazoa, Chordata, Mammalia, Carnivora, Felidae. The record is from RefSeq and is a predicted model, not a curated record.
GGCUGGAUUAUGGGCCCAGCAUUCUGACAUGAGCUUCAAAACUGCUCGUAGACACUGAAAAGUAAAGAGAGUGUGGUGAGCACAUGAAGAUCUUUGACGACACUUACCAACCACUUCAGGGGACGGAGCUCUGCUUACUUCAUCACUGUUCCAUCGAUUGGACACAAUUGGCCGCAAACGUUUGACACACACAACCUCACGCAUAUCUUCGUAUGAUGGAUCAUUGGGUACCAUAUUGUAAUAAGGCAACUGGUACUCUUCUACUAUCCCUGUAGGGAGGUGAGAAAACACAGUGGGCACAAAAAAUGUCAACCUACUCAGCACCUCUUACUCAACUAUGGGAGUUAAAACAGAUUCCUACACAAAGAAGAAAAGAAUUAGAGUAACGGAUUCACUUUUAACAGUAAAUGUAUGUUCUUCUCUUUUUCAUGCCUAAUUAUUUUCUCUACCUCCAUUCGGGUAGGGUUCUAUGAAACUUAUGGACUUAGCUAUGUAUAUCCCUUAAAAAAAGUAAGGUGAAAUGCUCAUUUAUCUUUUUAGUCUAAUUAUUUACAUACAUAUUUGUUCUUAUUAAUGAAUGCAGUUUUUAUUUUUUGUUCUACAGCAGAAAGACAACAUGAUUUGUGGGGAAUAGUGAACAUGGCAGGCCUGAGACUGCUGCCCUGAAAAGGCCUGCGUAGAGGGCUGAAGCUGGGCCAGUGUCUGGGAACUUGCCAGGGAUUAGUGUCCUCACUGCCUCAUUGGCAACUACUGAUACAUGAGUGGAGCUUACUGAUUACAGACUUCACUGUGAGAUAACUGCCUGGGCCAUGUCACUGGGCCCAUGGAGGGCUGACCUGUGUGAUCAACACAAUGUGGCAGAAGUGAUGGUGUAACUUUGGAGUCUAGAUCGUAAACAGCAUUGCAGCUUCCACCUUGAUCUCUUGAAUCACUCACCCUAGGAGGAAGAAGCCAGUCUUCAUGCUGCAAGGAUACUCAUACAGCUCUGUUAUGAGGCUCACAUCAGAGAAACUAAGCUCCCCUGUCAACCUGUGAGCAUCAGAAGUGAGCUACCUUGGAAAGUGAUCUACCAGCUCUAGUCAAGCCUUUAGGUGAGCACAGCUCCUGCUGACAUCUGACUGGACCUUAUCAAAGAUUCUGACGUGCAGUCAGUCACUCCUGAAUUUCUGACCCACAGUGAGAGAUAAUAAUUGCUGUUUUAAGCCACUAUGUUUGGGAGUGAUUUCCUAAUGCAGUAUUGCAUAACACAGCAUCUGACUUUCUAAAAAUAGACUUUCAAGCAAUCCUCUUGGUUUUACUGCCACUCUCAGCUUUACUCCCAGAGGUAACUGGUGCUGCCAAUUUUCGAGCUUCUUGGGGAAUUCUAUAGUAUAAACUGGUUGCACCUUUACUUUCUCAAAUUCUAGCCUAGGAGUCUGAUUUUGUAGGUCCGCAAAGUCACUUACUACUCAUCCAAAAGUUUCCCAAGUUCCAAAAGUUUUGUUGUUGUUGUUGUUGUUGUUUUUUGCUGUUAUCUGGUAUCCCGUUCUCCUUGUCCUAGCUGGACAAAGAAGGUAAAAACUAUUGCUUUUUCACCGGAGGCAGCAAAAGGGAGAUGCUCAAUCUGUCUCUUUAUCUAAGAAUUUCUACCAGUAUUACAGGUGGAAAACAGUAUCUCAGUAUGAUUUUAAUUUCUAUUUUUCAUAUUGUGAAUAUUCUUGAGUCAUCUUUUUAUUUUUCUUUUCAGAGCUGUAAGUAUUUCCUUUUAGAUAAAUGUGAGUUCAGUUUGGGGGGAAUGUUUUCCCAUUGAACUGCUAAGUUUUUUGUUUUUGAUUUAUAAAAGCUCUCUAUAUUUGAGAAAUCAGCUCUUUGUAAUAUGAGAUACCAAUAUUUUUCACUCUUUGUCUUCUGUUUAUGGUGGUUUCUGCCACAUAGUAAAGUUUUAUUUUUA